UGGGCCUGGCCCAGAAUCUGAUUGGGGCUUC
RNAcentral lists this non-coding RNA (31 nucleotides) under Homo sapiens (human). The record is from RNAcentral. Lineage: Eukaryota; Metazoa; Chordata; Mammalia; Primates; Hominidae.